This 1287-nucleotide ribosomal RNA is filed under the name metagenome. RNAcentral's name for it is "bacterial SSU rRNA". It matches the Rfam family "Bacterial small subunit ribosomal RNA", at positions 242 to 1520 of the family's 1533-position model. The record is from RNAcentral.
UAGCUAGUUGGUGAGGUAAAGGCUUACCAAGGCGACGAUCUGUAGCGGGUCUGAGAGGAUGAUCCGCCACACUGGAACUGAGACACGGUCCAGACUCCUACGGGAGGCAACAGUGGGGAAUUUUGGACAAUGGGGGCAACCCUGAUCCAGCCAUGCCGCGUGAGUGAAGAAGGCCUUCGGGUUGUAAAGCUCUUUCGGCCGGGAAGAAAUCGCAUGGGCCAAUACCCUGUGUGGAUGACGGUACCGGAAUAAGAAGCACCGGCUAACUACGUGCCAGCAGCCGCGGUAAUACGUAGGGUGCGAGCGUUAAUCGGAAUUACUGGGCGUAAAGCGUGCGCAGGCGGUUUUGUAAGACAGGCGUGAAAUCCCCGGGCUUAACCUGGGAACUGCGUUUGUGACUGCAAGGCUAGAGUACGGCAGAGGGGGGUGGAAUUCCACGUGUAGCAGUGAAAUGCGUAGAGAUGUGGAGGAACACCAAUGGCGAAGGCAGCCCCCUGGGUCGAUACUGACGCUCAUGCACGAAAGCGUGGGUAGCAAACAGGAUUAGAUACCCUGGUAGUCCACGCCCUAAACUAUGUCAACUAGGUGUUGGGUGGGUAAAACCAUUUAGUACCGUAGCUAACGCGUGAAGUUGACCGCCUGGGGAGUACGGCCGCAAGGUUAAAACUCAAAGGAAUUGACGGGGACCCGCACAAGCGGUGGAUGAUGUGGAUUAAUUCGACGCAACGCGAAAAACCUUACCUACCCUUGACAUGCCAGGAACUUGCCAGAGAUGGCUUGGUGCCCGAAAGGGAGCCUGGACACAGGUGCUGCAUGGCUGUCGUCAGCUCGUGUCGUGAGAUGUUGGGUUAAGUCCCGCAACGAGCGCAACCCUUGUCGUUAAUUGCCAUCAUUUAGUUGGGCACUUUAACGAGACUGCCGGUGACAAACCGGAGGAAGGUGGGGAUGACGUCAAGUCCUCAUGGCCCUUAUGGGUAGGGCUUCACACGUCAUACAAUGGUCGGUACAAAGGGUUGCCAAGCCGCGAGGCGGAGCCAAUCCCAGAAAGCCGAUCGUAGUCCGGAUUGCAGGCUGCAACUCGCCUGCAUGAAGUCGGAAUCGCUAGUAAUCGUGGAUCAGCAUGUCACGGUGAAUACGUUCCCGGGUCUUGUACACACCGCCCGUCACACCAUGGGAGCGGGUUCCGCCAGAAGUAGGUAGCCUAACCGCACGGGGGGCGCUUACCACGGCGGGGUUCGUGACUGGGGUGAAGUCGAAACAAGGUAGCCGUAGGGGAACCUGCGGCUG